Molecule: long non-coding RNA, 1711 nt
Filed under: Ananas comosus (pineapple)
Lineage: Eukaryota; Viridiplantae; Streptophyta; Magnoliopsida; Poales; Bromeliaceae
Description: long non-coding RNA (ACOM_LNC015535)
Source: RNAcentral
AGAAAGAAGGUAUUUAAAAUCUAGUAUAUAUUUCUCUGAAAUAAUUAAGGAAUAAAUAGAAACAUAUGUAUUGAAUUUAAAAUAAAAAAAUUGUUACGUAUAAGACCACAACAAUUUUUAGUUAACCAUAAGUCAUUUUAUUAGAUACUCUUUCACUGAACUAAAAUACACUGUAGUUAUUAAGUAAAAGGCUUAAAGAAAGGAGCAAAACUUGUACAUAUCCAUAACCAGAUGUAUUCAGACACACAAACGUACAUACAGCUAACACAUACAGCCACACAUGCGCAUAGACACACACAGACACACACACACACACACAUACACACACACACACACACACACACACACACACACACACACACACACACACACACAUAUAUAUAUAUAUAUAUAUAAUAGAGUGAGACUACUAUGCUAUCGGAAGCACGGAGCCUUCCGUGCUUCCAGCUCGUUUUCGAUCUUGUGACUUUCGAAUCGUCGAUCGGCUCCGUUAAACUUGAUCUAGAGUAUUUGGAGUACCUAGAAAAUAAAUUUUAUUAUUUUUCGAUAUCAUUUGCCUAGUGAUCGAAUGGGCUCAAAAUCAACAAAUUUUAAUGGCUGUAGUGAGCCGUUUGCAAGUUUAAUGGUGUAGAAAUAUUCAAAUCACGUGAAAUUUUGAUAGAAAAUUCUUUAUACUAUAUAAAACAAGAUCAAUAUCUUUGAUUUAAAAUUUUAAUGUCAUAUUAUUAUAUUUUGUAAGAUUUUUAUUUUCAGCCGUUGAUUUUGAACCCCUUCGUUCACUAGGCAAAAGAUAUCGUAAAACCAUAAAAUUUAUUUUCUAGGUACUUCAAAUAUUCUAGAUCAAGUUUAACGGAGCCGAUCGACGAUUCGAAAGUCGCAAGAUCGAAAACGAGCUGGAAGCACGGAAGGCUCCGUGCUUCCGAUAGCAUAGUAGCAUCACUCUAUAUAAUACAAAUUUUAAAAUUUUGAUAUUUUUAAAUUUUAAAGUUUUAAAUUUUAAAUUUAAUAUUUUAUAUUUUAAAUUAUAAUAUUUAUUUUCAAAUUUUAAACUUUUCAAAAUUUAAAAUUUUAAAUCUCUAAAUUCUAAUAAUACACGUAAUAAAUCGCGUAAUAAAAUCUAACCUAAUAAAUGCAAUUUAAAUUACAUAAAAUAUCGCUGUAUAAAAAAAUAUAGAAUUUAAAUUUCAAGACUAAAAUUUUAGAAAUAUAGUGCAUAUGUGUAUAUAUAUAAUUAAUUUUAUUAAAUAAUUUUUUUACAAUUUUUUUUUAUUUAUUGGUUUUCUUAAAUUAUUUUGAUAGAUUUAUCUCAUUUUAGUGAUUUUUAUUUAUACGGCUAAAAUAUCAAUGAAUAUCAUUAAAAGUUUUAGUAAAAUAUGAUACCUAAUUUUAAUUUUAUUUUAAAUUUAAAUUUGAAUUUAUAUUUAUAUUUAAAUUUUUUUUAGAGAAAGGUAGCAUAUUAUUUUUAUUUCUGUAUCCAGUUAGUACCCUGUGGUUUUUAAACCACAGGGUACUAAAGUGAGAAAAUGCGAAACCAUAAAGUACUAACUUGAUACACUUUAAACCACAGGAUACUAAAGUAAAAAAGUGCAAAACCACAAGAUACUAACUUGAUACACUUUAAACCAUAAGGUACUAAAAUGAAAAAAUAUGAAACCACAUGGAGAUUUUUGAAGUUUUCCCCUUUAUUAUUUCACGAAAUUCAAAGAAUCCG